GAUGAAGAACGCAGCGAAAUGCGAUAAGUAAUGUGAAUUGCAGAAUUCCGUGAAUCAUCGAAUCUUUGAACGCACAUUGCGCCCCCUGGUAUUCCGGGGGGGCAUGCCUGUCCGAGCGUCAUUGCAACCUUCAAGCGCGGCUUGUGUGUUGGGUCUCGUCCCCCGUGGACGGGCCCGAAAGGCAAUGGCGGCGUCCCGACAUGGUGCCCGAGCGUAUGGGAAUCCUCUUCCGCUCGAAUCGGCCCAUGCGGCGCUGGUCGUAACCAAAUUUUUUACCGGUUGACCUCGGAUCAGGUAGGGAUACCCGCUGAACUUAAGCAUAUCAAUAAGCGGAGGA
This 337-nucleotide unclassified non-coding RNA is filed under the name soil metagenome. Its description in RNAcentral is "partial contains 5.8S ribosomal RNA, internal transcribed spacer 2, and large subunit ribosomal RNA". The stretch from base 1 to 121 matches the Rfam family "5.8S ribosomal RNA", at positions 35 to 154 of the family's 154-position model. The record is from RNAcentral.